Molecule: long non-coding RNA, 14257 nt
Filed under: Solanum lycopersicum (tomato)
Lineage: Eukaryota; Viridiplantae; Streptophyta; Magnoliopsida; Solanales; Solanaceae
Description: long non-coding RNA (SLYC_LNC001020)
Source: RNAcentral
UUUGAAAUGACAGAAAAUACGCAAAAUUACAAGUCUAUUGACAUGAUUUUCAGGAGAUUAAUAUACUAAAAAUGACAAAGUAAAAAGAAAUAAUGCAAAAAAAAUUAGUUAAUACUCCCUAUAAACAUGAUUCCUAGGUGAUUUAAUAAUCAACACAUUUAAAUAACACCUAUAUGCAUAAUUUCUAACUCCUAAUGACAUAUGAAUGCAUACAUUCUAUAAACAUAAUUUAUUCGAUGAAUAGCUUUAUACAAAAUGUUUAUAAUUUAUUUUUUCUUAACAUUUUUAGAAAUUAGCCAAAACUCAUUACUUAAUAUUCCAAAUUGAAUAAAAAUAUGACUUUAAUCAUUAAUUGGGCAAAAACUCAAUGACUGAGCGAAGAUGAUUUGCUUUUUUUUAUGUUUAGAUCUAAAAAUACUUUAUCACAUAAAAUUUUUAUCAAAAUAAGAUUACGAACCUAUAGGCAUGCUUUUCUAACACAAAUAAGUUUUCAAAUAAGAGGCGAUUACUGCAUAAUUCCCCUCCCCUUAGGCGAUCCACCCCAAAUUUAUUUUAUAUAUAUAGGUAGGGUUAGAGAAUUAUACUCAUUGUAACAGAAAUAACGAAUGAAAAUAUACAAAACAUUAAAAUAAAUGAAGCUUCGUCUGAAAUUUCUUCUAGGCCACUCUUCAUCAUCUUAAACUUUAAGUUCAAAACCUGCUAGAAUAGGUAAGCUAUCACAUAUACAAUGGAUAAAUGAUUGUAAUAUAGUAGACUCAUAGUAGCAAAUUACUCUCAUAUAUAUGUAAAUAACACACAAAAAGAAAUAAAGAAUAGUCAUAGUUAUAUUAUCAAACGUAAAAGGAUAGUGAAACUAACUUAGAUGCUUCCUUGUUGUUUCGUUUUUCAACACACAAAUAUUUAUAAUUAUGUAAAUAAAUCAAAUUAAAAUUAAUAAAUAAUACUAACCAAUUAUGCAGAAAAGAUUAUCAACAAUAGAGACAGAGUAAUCCCAAUACAACAAAGUAGCAAAAGCACUUGAAUAUUUGCCGGAAUCUUAACUUAUUUUUAAGAGUAGAGCAAUAUUAUUAGUAUUCAAGUAUGAGAGUGAGUUAAGAAAAAGGUACCACUUAUUUUAGAAGAAUGAGUGAUGAGUUGAGAGAAUGAAUGUGUGCAUGUGCAAUGAGAGAAUGAGAGAACUUUUAACAAGAGUUAGUGUUGAAAUUGAGAGGAGUGAGUCUUAUUAUAUAGCAAAGAGGAGGAGCACAUAAGAAAAUAAAUAAAUUAACGAGUAAAUUAUUAAACUAUUUUCUUAUUUUCGCGGAGGGCCAAAAUCAGAAAAAUAAUUUAAUUAUUUUUUACCAAAUAUAAGCAAGUAAGAAUAAAUUUAAAGAGAGUAAUAUUUAUUUUCCUUAAAUAAAGAGGAGCCAAAAUCAGAUUUUUUAAAAAAAUAUGCCAUUACCAAAAAUAAUUAAGUAAGAAGUAAAAUUAGGAACAAAAAAUAUUUUUCUGAAAUAAAGAAGAGUAAAAAAUUAGAUUUUAUUUUAAUUAUUUUUUAUUAAAAAAAUUGAGAGAUCAAUCAUUUUUCAAGUAAGGAAAAAUGAUCAAUUAAUAUAUUUUACUUAAAUAAUAGCAUUGAAUCAUAUUUUUUUUUAAAAUAUAUUUUACCAAAUUAACCAAGGAAGAGAAAAAAUUUUAUUAGAUAAAGAAGGACCAAAAUUAGAAUUGAUUUAAGGCAAUUUUUCAAACAUAAAGCAAGUAGGAAAUUGGUUUAAGUUCUAAUUAACCAAAGGAAGCAAAUAAGGCUUAAGAGAAGAGAUAAAUUGGGAUCCACUAGUAUGUAUAUCCUUAACAAAUUUACAGUGAAGUCAAUCAAAGUUUACCUUAUAAUCAUCUUAACUAAGGAAAUAAUCAGUUUACGGCUUAACACAAUUAAAGGGACCAAACAUUAGUUCAUCAUUCCUUACUACGAAUGUAGCACCCUUACAUGGAUAUAUUACAACUAACUUCCACAAAUCAUAGACUUAGAGCAGUUUAUUACAAAAUUAAGCUAGCCAAAUGACUAACUUUAACAGGCAUAUUCACCACCAAAUUAGACAAAUGAAAGCAAUUUCAUAUUAGAACACAGAUAGAGAAUCAAUGAGCCACGAAUCUUCAAUCGCAACAGUAUAAUGUCAAGCAAACCUAAAAUUAAUCCAUUCUAGCAUAAAGAGGUUUAAACCCGGAGAACACCAGUAAUCACAAACGGUGACAAACACUAUGACCUCAAAUCAGGAGUUGAAUCCCACAUUUUCAUGUAAUAUACUCUAAGAAAGCAACAAGACGAACAUAGAGAAUGUAAUAGUUUCAUUAAAGAAUGAAAAAAAUGGCUCGACGGAUCUGAAAGAUCCGUUUAUUAUAAAUUGAUUGAUGAUCUCAGCAAACUGUAGCUAAGUCGGUAACUGCUUUCAUCCUCACUUGUUGGAGUUAUUGUUGUCCCCUUCGCCGGAGCUGUUGGUGGCCAUGGAACUCUGCCGAAGUUGCGGCUGUUGCUGAUUUUAGAGAUGAGAGGAAGAGAAUGGAGACGGAGAAGGGGAGGAAGACGAGAGGGAGAAGGGAAGAGGGGGGAAGAAAAAGUGAUACGAAAGGGACAGGAGAAGAGGGAGGAUGGUGGUGGAGAGAGGGAAGGCAGCUUGGUGGUCGGAAAAAGGGGGAGAGAGAGGAGGAACGACGGGAGAGGGAAGAAGAAGAGAGGGGGAGAAAGUGGAGGCGGCUGGAAUGAAGGGAGAGAAGAGAGGGGAAGGCUGCUAGAGAGUGGAGGGAGAAGAGAAUGAAAACUUUUUUAGGAAUUAGAAUCUCUUAGUUAGAAUAGGUAGGUUACAUCUGAACCAUGAGAUUAGUUUAGAUGGACGACUAGUAUUUAAUCUAGGAUUUAUUUUAAAGAUGAACGGAUGAGAUCAAAAGAUGAAGUCUUGAAAUUAGAUUGUGAAAAAUAUGGAAUGACUAAAAUUUUAAUUAAAUUGGCUAGAAUUGAAAUGAAAGAGUGGCUAUGAUUGGAAUAAAAUUUGAAGUGGAGUGGCUAGAACUGGAAAAUCUUAUAAUAAAAUGGGUUAGGAUUUCAAUGAUUUUCAGGAAAAUUUAGUAAUUAAUGUUUAAUUAAAAUGGUAUAUUUUUAAAAUAUUUUUUUAUAUAAUUUAAAAUCACCUAAAUUUUAAUUCAUUAAUGAUUUAAAAAUAUUUUAAUAAUAUUUACAAUAAUUUUAUUAAGUGAACUUAUUAAUAUAAUUUUCAAGCAUAAUCUAUUAAAAUUCUAAACUUUAAAUAAAUUUUUAAAAAUAUGUAUUUAAUCGAAUGUAAUCCUAAAAAUGGUUAAACGUCGGUCAAAAUUGGGUGUCAACAGCUGCCCCUUGGUUAAUUGAGAAUAAAGAAUGAAUUGUCAGGCAACCAAUGUUGACUUAGUAGCUGAUUUUGUCCGACCGACGACAGAUGUCAUUGGAAUCAAUUUAAGCGAGGUAGAGUUGAAAAAAAGGUACGAUCGAGACUUUGGUAUUAAGCUUCCUACAUAUCUCUGGUUAUACAAGAAUUAGGUCGCGUAUAGUUCUAGAUUCAAGAUCAAAUGAAACUCUUCAAUGUUGAAAGAGCGCUAAGGUAUUAAGAGGACAAGAUAUUCGCUUGAAUGGAUAACAUUAGAGUAGCGAGAAGAGAGAGAUUAAGAGGCUAGAAGACCAUGACAGAGAAGCAAGAAGAGCAUGAUAGAGUGAGGUUAUCAGCUUUUGAGCAAGCUUUUGAGAUAGAUGAUAGCAUGAUAAUUGUAAUCAAGGGGCGACCAAUCAUAUCUGCAAAUUCUAGAUAAAAUCUUAGCUUAUAAAUAGAUAAUGUAUGACCAACAAUGAUAAAAUAUGAGUUCUAAAUAAAUUACAAGAGGUGAUAAAAGCGUAUCUGUUUUGAGACGUAGUGCAAGCCUUGAUAGUCUUUGGCUUAACUUCUUGAAGGAUUGAAAUCCAUCUCCGAAGAAUAACGUCAAACUCCAACAAAUUUGAUAAUAUAGCGAUAUAAUAAUAUAGAAGGCAAUGUCUGGUUGUAAACGUCAUUCUAAGGGGGACGAACCUAAGUGUAAUUUUAAGGCUGACGACCUAACUGUCUUAGAAAGAGGACGAACAUAAUCUUAUGAGGCGGACGAGCCUAAAUGUUGUUUUAAAGCAGACGGCCUAAAUGUCCUUUUAAGGCGGACGAGCCUAAGUGUCCUCUUAAGGCGGAUGGGACUAAAUAUCCUAUAAGGAGGACGAGCCUAAAUGUCACGUCGUAAGGCGGACAAGCCUAGAUGUCGCAUUGUAAGGCGGAUGAGACUAGAUGUCGCAUUGUAAGGAGGAUGAGCCUAAAUGUCGUGUUGUAAGGCGGAUGAGUCAAGAUGUCGCAUUAUAAGACGGACGAUCCUAGAAGACCUAUUGUAAUGCGGACGAGUCUUAAUGUCAUUUUGAGGCAGACGAGCCCAACUGAAGAAAAGGUAGGUCACAGUAGCGAGUUGAGUCUGACAAUAUCUCCAUGGUAGUCUGAACGGUAGCUGAGUAGCCGAAUGAUAAUUUGAGUAGCCGAGAAUUUGACAGUGUUUGUUUGUAAGCAUGAAGGUGGUUGUUCAAAAGGCGGUUGAUUUUAUCUGUAAUCUGCAUAUCUGUAACUUGUAAUACAACUUAAUUAUAGUGAUUAGCGGUAAGUGUAAACAUGAUGCAAUUCCCAUGUUGACCAUAAAUGUUUGCCUUAAGACCAUAAAAAAUGACGUCUUAGGCUAUGAUGUCUAGGGCCAUGAUACGCAAAAUGUAUCCUCAGGUCAUGAAAAUGUUGUCUGUAGGCCAUGAAAAUGACGCCUUUAGGCUAUGACACCUUCGGAUCAUGAUAGACAAAAAUCAAACCGUUAGGCCAUGAUAUGAUGUAUGCAGGCCAUGAGGAUGAUGCCUUUUGACUAUGAUGCCUUUGGAAGAUGCUAAGCAUAAAAUAAGUCCUCAAGCCAUGAUAUAAAGUCCGUUGGCCAUGAAAGAUGAUGCCUUUGGAGGAUGACGCCUUUGGAAUAUAUGUAAUGAGUAAAGAGAGUGUAUCUUUUUUUGGAAUCUAUUGAUACUUGUGACUUGAUUUGAUUCGGGCACACGCAAACUUCGAGCACGAUGCAGUUUUGGGCUUAUGCAAAUUUCGGGCACAAUGCAGUCUCGGGCACAAUGCAAUGAUACAUUUCUUCGGGCACAUGGAUUGUUGGCACAUGCAAUGAUGCGUUUCUUUGGGAACAAUGUAAUAUCGGGCACAUGUAAUGAUGCAUUUCUUCUGGCACAUGCAAUAUCGAGCACAUGCAAUGAUGCAUUUCUUCGGGCGCAUGCAAUAUCGAGCACAUGCAAUGAUGCAUUUGUUCGGGCACAUGCAAUUAUGCGUUUUGGAAAUAUCGGGCAUAAUAUAAUGAUGUUGUUCUUCGAGCAUAAUGCGAUAUUGGGCGUAGGUGCAAAUGAUGCAAUAUCGGGCAGAAUGUAAUUUGCCAGCACAACAGUUUCUUGAGGGUGUACAGUAGCUUGGGGGUCCACCUUUUUGGAAGGGUCGAGUGUCAUUUGUCGGGCUCGAAAGUGGUAUGUUGAUUGUUGAAGUUGAAUUUGUAUAUGUACCUAUAUUUUCUGCAUUCAAAGAAAAAUAGUUAGUUUAAAGGGGGGAGGUUGAUUUGUAUCUAUGAUUUGGCACAACUUGCUCCUUUGGUGUCUGAUAGAAUGUUCUUCGGAGUGUUGUCGAAAAUUUUGAGAUCCCCUUAAUAUUUUGGCCCCAGGGUAGAACUUCUAUCAUUUUGAUUUUUUGUAGUUGUAGCUUGACUGUUGAAUUUUUUUUUUGGAGAUUCUCCAAAAAUUUCUAUCCAGUCUUGAUUUUCAGCAAUUUUGAGAUCCCCUCAGAAUUCUACCACAUUUGUUGAGAAGAAAUGCUUUUGAUGGAGUUUUUGAGUUUACUCAAAAAUUUUGCCCAAGUAUGGAGAUGUGCAAGGAGAAAUCUCGAUGUAAUUUUUGUGACCCUCUCAAAGAUUCAGCCCUAGUUAUCAAUAGAAAGGGAAAAUGAAAUUUUUUUUAUUAUAACACCGAACCCCCAUAGGAGCGCCUACGUAUCCCCUCUUAAACGAGAAUCAGGUCUAACGUAGUUCCAAAUUACAAAGAGAGCAUAAGCGAGAUAUUAAUAACAUUCUUGAGCGACAAAUUAAAUGGUAGAUUUUGACCAACUUUAUUUGCCCAUAUGUUAUCAUUGGUGUCUGAAUGUGGAAAAUAUGAACUUAAAUGACGCAAGCCUUACUUAGGAAACUAGAUCAAGUAUACUUUGGUGCGUUCACAUUUGAACUUUCUUUGUUGCAAAGUCCUCCAAACAUAUGGCCUUAGUAUUAGUCAGUUGUUGAAUCUUGUCUUUCAGAUCACAACAUUCUUCUAUUGUAUGUCCUUCCAUUCCUGAAUGAUAAGCACAAACCUUAAAGGGUUCAAUCCACGAUGCAUGUGUAGUCAUCUUUAAUUCAUUGAUAGGAGCGAUGUGACCAGCGAUUCUCAACUUUCCAUAAAGUUGGCCUAUAUGCUCAGUUAGAGGAGUAUAAGUUUUUUCAAGUCUCUCCUCAACCUUGAAGAGAUUUUUGCGGAUAUGCGGUGGAGUGACGACUUUGGCAUUGUGACUAGGAUAUGUAGGCUGUUGAUAUGGACGAGGAGGCCUUUGGUACGGGGACAUUUGAUAUGGAAGGAUUGGAAAUGAUAUGAGAGGCGCAUGAUGCCAAGGAACUUGGUGCAGAGGUGUUUCAUAUCAAGCAACUUGUAUGCCAGAAUUAUGCGGGUACGGAGUUUGGGUUUAGGAGACUAUGUAUGAUGUUGCGGAGGAUAUGGGUGAUUUGAAAAGUGGAUGUUCUUUGGAGGCAUUUAAAUGGAGAUUGGUUGACUUUUAGAGGUAGAGUAAUCUUGAGGAGGAUUAUUUUGGAGACGGACUUGACUUGCAAAAGGUGACACAUCCAUGUUUUGUCUCCAAAGUGGGAUUUGCGGAGAGUAACAACUUUGCCCACUCACGCAUGUCCAACAACUCUUCUUCUAACUUCUUUAUUUUCUGCGCAAAGUUUGAUACCAACUCAUCUGAAAGACAUUUUUUUCCAAUAGUUUUACGCAUAAUCCUAGCAUUAGUCGCUUUCACUUUUCCUUUGAAAUUCUCUGUCGAAAGAGAAGGAAGUAAACCCUUUGAUCGUGUGUGGUAAACCUACAGAUCAACCAUUGGGAAAGGGUAAAGAAAAUAAAAAAAAAAAAGAAAAGAAAAACAAAGUCCAAGUUAGAACAUUGCAUAAAUUGGGAUAUCAAACACAUUAUUUUAUGAUAAACGCCCUAAAUGCAAAGGAGUCUCGUUGAGCCAGAGGUAGGCCUAAGAGACACAUAAGUGAUGCACAAUAAUUCAUUCAAGCCUUAUUUUCCAAUUUUGAUUUUAGAUUAGAAGAAACAAAAUAACUUUCAUUUAUUAUAAAAUUCAAACAAUACAUCAUAACUAAACUAAAAUAAACUAAGGGAAAAGGGAUAACUUGGGGGAAAACAUCCUAAAUUCUGAAAUCUUGGAGGUAUUGACUCCAAGAGCUUGGCGCCAAUUGACCUCUUGUAAUGGGAGAGACUUCUUGUCUCAUGUUCAACACAUUCCGUGCCCAUAUGUUUUCCCUUUCAUCGGCAAGUCCAUGGUAUCCUUCUCCACUCGAUAAUGGGACUUCAGAUUUUAUCAAGAUCUAUAUGCGGUACUCAUGUGUCCCUAAAGCAUGUCGUGUGCCGAUAGGAAUGGUCAACACACGCUCCCAUAUUCUAAGUGUGUUGUGGACUUGUGGUUUAUCUAGUCCAAACUCAUACUUAAAUGUCUCCAUGUCAGAUCAGAGUGGUAUGAUUUGAGUUUGCUCAAAUUGGCAAAGUACUCGAAGAGGCGCAUAUGGUUGGACACCUUUUAAUCCAAUAAGAUCGAUGAAGUAUCAGUCUUCCCCUAUUACUAUGACAUUAGGCGUGGACAACCAAUGAAGCUUCCACUAAAUUCGGUGGCUCUCAAGCUCAAUCAGAAAUAUCUUCCAAUCCACAAAUCCUAUAGGCGCGACGAAACGUGUCAACCUUCUUGGAUGGUUAUCAAUCUUGUUUCCUUGACCAAGAUAGGUAUCUACAACGUUAGAUCUCUUAUGGAGUGAUCGAUAGCCAAUAGUUGAAGUAUAAGGUUGCAUCCCUGGAAGAACAUUCUAUCAUCAACACAUGCUGACAUACUCCUCAUUAUCUCCGCCAGGAUCAUGGGCACUAUGAUUUUCCUAGGCUCGCCCCCUCAUUGAUCUAGGUCUCGAACCAUGUACCUUAGACAUGUAUCGAUUUUUUCCCUUGAUUUAGGAAAAACCAAGGAUCCCAAUAAGACUAUGACAAAGGAAUCCAGACGAUACUUUUCCCAUUUUUCAAUAGAAUACUCAAAUUCAUAGUCAUUAAUGUAGUAACUAUCACUCGGCCUAAUCGUGAGUAUAAUAAGUCUAAAUGAGUCCACCCAAGGUCUAAAGAAGUCCAGGUUGGAUUAGACUUCAUCCCCAUACUUUUUAGAAAUUCCCUUGAUGAUGGCUUAUAAGGUACUAUCAUUUGACGCUCAUGGUAUGAAAGGUCGAUGAAACUGCUAAUUUCUUCAAUUGUUGGUGUCAAGUUGCAAUCUGUAAACUUGAACACCAUCCUCACCGGAUCCAAAAACUGUAGUAGCGCCCUAGUCAGAUGAGGGUUUGGUGUGACAAAUAUAAAAUAUGUAAGACCACCUAAUAAUUGAUGAAUAUCCCUUUCCUUGUCUCUCAUUAUAUCCAUCCACUAUGUUUUAAGUCUCUGAUUCACUUUUGUUACCAUUUGAGGGUUUGGGGUUUGAUUCUCAUUCAUGACUCUGCAAACAAAAUAACAAAGAACUUCUAAACUCAUUUUGACAACGUUGGCUUCAUUUAAUUAUUAUGAUCACGUUGACACAUAAAUAUGCAAUUUUGUCUAAAGGGUAUUGGGGCCCUUUAGACGAUAGGGUGGCUACUAAUUAUAUGGAUUGACACCAAGGGACAAACCACCUAGGGUUUAUGUAGCAUGUAUGACUUAACUAAGACUUUUAAGAGUUGGUUCGACACGGACUUCUAAGGGAUUCUAUGCGAGAGGCUCGUGGUUUUGCAGCAGUAAAACUAUCCGUUACGUACAUGCAUAUGCCGACUUUCUAUAAUGGGUAUUUGAAUAUAAUUAGAGUAGUAGUGAGAGGUGCAAAGACACAACAUCACGUGAAAAAAAAGGAAGAGGGUCCCAAUUAGGGGAAGUAUGAACGGAAUGUCAGUUAUCAAAGAGAUAAACACUUAGUAUUUAGAUUGCAAAGCGGUAACGUAUAGGCAGUUUAUAAAACAAUAAAUAAAUAAGCAUAAAUAAAUAAAGGAAAGUAAACAUAUAAGUAUAUUAAAAAUGAUGCAAAUAAGUAAAGAGGGUAUGGGAUUAAACAUGUAAGUAAACAAAUAAAGGAAAAGGGGAAAGGUGAAACAUGGUAAUAAAUAAUUAAGGAAGAGGGAAGAGGUAGAACAUAAAAAGAAGACGGCAAAUAAGGCAACAAAAUAAACUACACAUGAUAAGCACUUAACAAAUAAUAAGAUGACCAAAUAAAGUAAACCCCACAUAAAUAAACAUGACAUACGUAAUUGUAAGAACCUAGUAUCCACGGUGGAGUCGUCAUUCUAUCGCACUCUAUUUUUUUCAGUAAAAAAUGGGUUUUGUGCACGACCUAACAACUCUUUUGGAACUUUGAGUUUAAGGAGUCGCCACCUAAUGAAUUAAGGCGCGUUAGGGCACCUAUAUAAUCUAACUAGUCUAACUAAGGUCAACGAAUAAGAGAAUGACUAAGGGUUCAAAUUAACUAGAGGGGAAGUGUUAGGCAUCCCUCGAGGUCCACAAAUAUGGAUCCCGACCGUAUCUCAUGCAAUUUAUGUGGGGGUUACAAGUAGAAAAUAAGGUCACUCAUUUAUUAGUUAAUUAACUAACAUGCUCUCUAAGUGCCAACAUAAUAUUAAAUGAUAAAGAUUAAUUUAUUAUUAAUUAAACAUGUGAAGCCUAGGUGAUAAGAAAUAUAAAACAAAUGAGAUCAUUUUAUUAUUUUGACCGAUUAAUUAAUAAAGGCUACGUGAUAGCAAAUAUUAACGAUUAAAAUUAUCUAACAUCUGAGACUAGGUGAUAUAACAACAAGUUGAAUCAAAUAGCUAAUUAUUAUCUUAAUUAUUAUUUAAACAUGUGAGUCUAAGUGAUAACAAUAUAAUAGAUAUAUCAAACAAUUAAUAAAGCGAUAAGCGAGAGGAUAGAAAAGAGACAAAAAAAUAAGCAAACAAUUUUAUUAUUUUUAUUUUAAUCUUCCCCAAAAAAUAUAAUUUAAAACAAACAAGUAAAGGAAUAAAAGGAAGGGAGACUCUAAGAGACUUUUUGGAUCAAUACUCGACUUUUCUUUUUAUUUUCCGAUAGGCUGCCGUAUAGGGACACACAAAACUAAGGUUUGUCUUUCAAGCCUGAGUCGAAGUCAUCAUCUCCAUAGGGACAACUACCCCUACCCCACCACCACAUGCAUUUCGUAUCUAAAAGGUGUCUAAUCGUCCCAACUAGAUUGUCCAAGAGUCAUUGGACUCUUAAAGGGUGGGUUUAGACAAAAUAGAAUAUAAGACCCUCCUAGACAUCAAGUCAAACAAACAAGACAUACAGGACGGUCAUUUUAGCACAAGGUUUCCAUUUGGCCUUUAAAUUUUAAAUAGACAUACUUGCAAACAAUACAUAAUUGUGAGAGAUCUCAUGUUAAGUGUGUAAGCAUACAAUGUUAUAAUAACAAAACAAAGAUUAAUUAUGAAGACGAAAUAUGACAUGGGUGUAGAUUUUAAUGUUGAACUAAUUUUAAAGUGAACAAUGAUUAGUGACAUAAUAGAUUUUAUUUUAUUUUCAGGUAGCAAAGGAUGUGAUCACACAUGCACAUAUAUUUUAGAAUAGCAGAAAUAUUCACUAUCAAUGCAAAAAUAUAACAUAGGACAGCAGAUUUAUUAUUUAUUUGGGCAAAAAUUUAUUUAAAGAACAAUAGAUUGCAGAAAACUUUUCUAAGUAAGUGACUAGUUAUUUUAAUGCAGAAAAAUGUUGUUUAGAACACUUGUCAGAUUUACAAAUUGGUUAUUAAUGUUUAAAAAAAAAUAUUAUUUAUGCAAAAAAUAAUUACUAUGCAUUUAGAAAGCAAUAUAUUUAUUGCAAAAAUGUUUCUUAGACUGUUAUAUUAUUAUAUGCAACAAAAAAUUAUUAAAACAGUAGCAGAUUUUUAUUUAAUGCAGAAAAUUGUUUAAGAGGUAGUUGUUUUAUUAGAUGCAAUAAAUCAAUAAAGUAUAUUUGUUUGAAAUGACGGAAAAUAUGCAAAAUGAAUUUUUUCCAAUUAUUAUGCUAAAAAAUUACAAGUCUAUUGGUAUGAUUUUCAGGUGUUUAAUAUACUUAAAAUGACAAAGUAAUAAGAAAUAAUGCAAAAAAAAAUUAGUUAAUACUCCCUAUAAACAUGAUUCCUAGGUGAUUUAAUAAUCAACACAUUUAAAUAACACUUAUAUGCAUAAUUUCUAACUCCGAAUGACAUAUGAAUGCAUACAUUCUAUAGACAUAAUUUAUUCGAUGAAUAAAUUUAUACAAAAUGCACAUAAAAUUUUUUUUCUUAACAUUUUCAGAAAUUAGCCAAAACUCAUUACUUAAUAUGCCAAAUUGAAUAAAAAUAUGAUUUAAAUCAUUAAUUGGGAAAAAACUCAAUGAUUGAGCGAAGAUGAUUUGCUUUAUAUUUUUUAUGGUUAGAUCUAAAAAUACUUUAUCACAUAAAAAUUUUAUCAAAAUCAAAUUACGAACCUAUAGGCAUGCUUUUCUAACACAAAUAAGUUUGCAAAUAAAGAGGCGAUUACUGCAUAAUUUCCCUCCCCUUAGGCGAUCCACCCCAAAUUUAUUUUAUAUAUAUAGGUAGGGUUGGAGAAUUAUACUCACUGUAACAAAAAUAACGAAUGAAAAUAUACAAAACAUUAAAAUAAACAAAGCUUCGUCCGAAAUUUCUUCUAGGGCACUCUUCAUCAUCUUGAACUCUAAGUUCAUAACCUUCUAGAAUAGGUAAGGUAACACAUAUACAAUGGAGAAAUAAUGGUAAUAUAGUAGACUCAUAGUAGCCAAUUACUCUCAUAUAUAUGUGUAAAUAACACACGAAAUGAAAUAAAGAAUAACCAUAGUUCUAUUAUCAAAUGUAACAGCAUAAUGAAACUAACUUAGAUGCUUCCUUGUUGUUUCGUUUUUCAACACACAAAUAUUUAUAAUUAUGAAAAAAAUCAAAUUAAAAUUAAUAAAUAGGGCUAACCAAUUAUGCAUAAAAUAUUACCAAUAAUAGAGACAGAGUAAUCCCAACACAACAAAGUAGCAAAAGCAUUUGAAUAUUUGCUGGAACCUUAACUUAUUUUUAAGAGUAGAACAAUAUUAAUAGUAUUCAAGUAUGAGAGUGAGUUAAGAAAAAGGUACCACUUGUAUUAGAAGAAUGAGUGAUGAGUUGAGAGAAAGAAUGUGUGUAUGUGCAAUGAGAGAAUGAGAGAACUUUUAGCAAGAGUUAGUGUUGAAAGUGAGAGGAGCGGGUCUUAUUUAUAUAGUAAAGAGGGGGAGCACAUAAGGAAGAUAAAUAAAUUAAGGAGUAAAUUAUUAAACUAUUUUCUUAUUUUCGAGGAGAGCCAAAACAGAAAAAUAAUUUAAUUAUUUUUUAUCAAAUAUAAGCAAGUAAGAAUAAAUUAAAAGAGAGUAAUAUUUAUUUUCAUUAAAUCAGUAGGAGCCAAAAUCAGUUUUUUUUUAAAAAAAAUAUACCAUAACUAAAAAUAAUUAAUUGAAGAAGUAAAAUUAGGAACAAAAAAUAUUUUUCUUAAAUAAAGAAGAGUCAAAAAUUAGAUUUUAUUUUACUUAUUUUUUUAUAAAAAAGAAGUAAGAGAUCAAUCACUUUUUAAGUAAGGAAAAAUGAUCAAUUAAUAUAUUUUACUUAAAUUAUAGCAUUGAAUCAUAUUUUUUAAAAAAAUAUAUAUUUUACCAAAAUUAAUCAAGGAAGAGAAACAUUUUUCUUAGAUAAAGAAGGACCGAAACUAGAAUUGAUUUAAGACAAUUUUCCAAAUAUUAAGCAAGUAGCAAAUUGGUUUAAGUUCUAAUUAACCAAAGGAAUCAAAUAAGGCUUAAAAGAAGAGAUAAAUUGGGAUCCACUAGUAUAUCCUUAACAAAUUUACAGUGAAGUCAAUCAAAAUUUACCUUAUAAUCAUCUUAACUAAGGAAACAAUCAGUUCACGGCUUAACAAGAUUAAAGGGACCAAACAUUAGUUCAUCAUUCCUUACUAUGAAUGUAGCACCCUAACAUGGGUAUAUUACAACUAACUUCCACAAAUCAAUGACUUAGAGCAGUUUAUUACAAAAUUAAGCUAGCAAAAUGACUAACUUUAACAGGCAUAUUCACCACCAAAUUUGACAAAGGAAAGCAAUUUCAUAUUAGAACACAUAGAGAAUCAAUGAGCCACGAAUCUUCAAUCGCAACAGUUUAAUCUCAAGCAAACCUAAAAUUUAUUUGUUCUAGAGGUUUAAACCCGGAAAACAACAGUAAUCACAAACGUUGACAAACACUAUGAUCUAAAAUCAGGAGUCGAAACCCACAUUUUCAUGUAAUAUACUCUAAGAAAGCAACAGGACAAACAAUAGAGAAUUUAAUAGUCGCAUUAAAGAACGGAAAAAAACUUGCUCGACGGAUCUGAAAAGAUCUAUUUAUUAAAAAUUGAUUGAUGAUCUCGGCAAACUGUAGGCAAGUCGGUAAUUGCUAUAAUCAUCACUUGUUGGAGUUGUUGUUGUCGCCUUCGCCGGAGCUGUUGGUGGCCAUGGAACUCUGCCGGAGUUGCGGCUGCUGCUAGUUUUAAAGAGGAGAGGAAGAGAAUAGCGACGAGGAAGACGAGAGCGAGAAGGGAAGAAGGGAAAAAAAGGGAGACGAAAGGGACUAAAGAAGAGGGAGGGUGGUGCUGGAGAAAGGGGAGGCAACUUGCUGGUCGGAAAAAGGGAGAGAGAGAGGAGGAGCGAUGGGAGAGGGGAGAAGAAGAGAGGGGGAGAAAGCGGAGGUGGCUGGAGAGAGGGCAAAGGGGAGAGGCGAUUUUAGCUGGAAAGAAUAGAGGGGGAGGCUGCCAGAGAGGGGAGGGAGCACAGAAUGAAAACUUUUUUAGGGAUUAGAAUCUUUUAUUUAGAAUAGGUAGGUUAAAUCUGAACCAUAGGAUUAGUUUAGAU